AGAGUUUGAUCCUGGCUCAGGAUGAACGCUAGCGGCAGGCCUAAUACAUGCAAGUCGAACGGUUUUACAGCAAUGUAAGAUAGUGGCGCACGGGUGCGUAACACGUAUGGAACCUCCCUUAUAGACGGGGAUAGCCUUUGGAAACGGAGAUUAAUACCCGAUAGUAAUAUGAGAUGGCAUCAUUUUAUAUUUAAAGAUUUAUCGCUAUAAGUUGGUCAUGCGUCCAAUUAGUUAGUUGGCGGGGUAACGGCUCACCAAGACGAUGAUUGGUAGGGGAACUGAGAGGUUAAUCCCCCACACUGGCACUGAGAUACGGGCCAGACUCCUACGGGAGGCAGCAGUAGGGAAUAUUGGGCAAUGGAGGCAACUCUGACCCAGCCAUGCCGCGUGCAGGAUGAAGGCGUUAUGCGUUGUAAACUGCUUUUAUAUAGGAAGAAAUAGACCUUGCGAGGUAAGUUGACGGUACUAUAUGAAUAAGCACCGGCUAACUCCGUGCCAGCAGCCGCGGUAAUACGGAGGGUGCAAGCGUUGUCCGGAUUUAUUGGGUUUAAAGGGUGCGUAGGCGGUUUAUUAAGUCAGUGGUGAAAGACGGUCGCUCAACGAUUGCAGUGCCAUUGAUACUGAUAGACUUGAGUGGGAUUGAGGUAGCUGGAA
RNAcentral lists this ribosomal RNA (654 nucleotides) under uncultured Crater Lake bacterium CL0-73. RNAcentral's name for it is "bacterial SSU rRNA". It matches the Rfam family "Bacterial small subunit ribosomal RNA", at positions 8 to 666 of the family's 1533-position model. The record is from RNAcentral.